Long non-coding RNA from Chenopodium quinoa (quinoa), 4881 nucleotides. RefSeq lists it as uncharacterized. The transcript has 4 exons. The record is from RefSeq and is a predicted model, not a curated record. Lineage: Eukaryota; Viridiplantae; Streptophyta; Magnoliopsida; Caryophyllales; Amaranthaceae.
AUUAAUUUUUGACAAUGUUAGCAAUUCAGUGAAGUCGUGAAGGUCUCAUUUAAUGCCCGAACUUAUUAGCACAUGGAAAUAGUAGCUAGUAGUUGUCUUAUAAAUCCCGGCGGAGGGCAAAUCUUGAUGAAGAACAAUGUUGAUGGGUUUAAGAAGAUCGAAUGGUACAUGAGGAGGAAGGUGGUAUGUAAAAGUGCGCAAAGACGCCGGUCUAGUCAGGUUUUCUGGUAAGUUUGAUUUGAUUGUGCAAUAGUGGAGUAUAUGCGGAUAUAGUUUGAAGAGUGCAAUUGUGCAAAAAAUUAAUUGAGAUUGCAAUAGCUGAGUUAUAGCUCGAUUUUGUUAGAAAAGUGCAAAAUUGCAGAAGUCAAUGGUGUCGUUAUAUAAAUGAUUUAGCUAAUUUGAUUAUAAGAUGCGCGUUAAUAUGAAUAUACAGUGUAGAUAGUUCAUAAUAUUUUUUAACACUUUGUCUGCCAUAAAGCCAGAUGUUAUUUUGCGGUCAUCUUUUGAAAAAUAAUAUGAAUUUGUGGAAAGGAAAUCAGUAAAGCAUUUUCUGGGAGAGACUAAAUAUCAACGGGCAGAUAUAUAUACUAGCGACUAUUCGUAGUCGAUGAUAAUGGGGAUUGUCAAUGGAAGUAAGUCUUAUCUAAAGUGAAUCAAAUUGAUAUAUUCCAUUUUCGUGGAUGCCCCUGUGUGCUUCUAAUUAGGUGAUUACCUGAUUGCAAUAUUUACUGCUAGAGUCUUAUCUAGAGUGAAUCAAAUUUUAAGUUGGUUGUUUACUGUAAAACAUUAUAGGGUCUGAAGGUUUAAAUCAUGGCUUUGAAUAUGGAAAAUUUCCUUUAUUUUUUUUAUCAAUAUCAUAUUUACCAACAAAUAUGUUAGUUGAAUGUGAAGGACCAAGUCUGCAAAUCAGGCAUUACUUAUAAAUUAAGUUUAGACAUGUCAGUAUUAAAUAUUUAGUGAGCUUUAAGAAGAAGAGGUUGUGUUAAUCAAUUAGGAAUUAGGAACAUAUAUAUACUGGGGGUUGGGUACUUGGGUUUCCUGUAAUGAAUUUGGAACUCUUGAUUUGUUUGUUGAAUGUUAUUCUCUUAAAAUUCUGUCAUUCAUAUUGCGGUAGAAUCAAAAAUUCAGUUCUGAUGUUUAUAAAAGGCUGUGAUUCACUUUAUGUACUGAAAUUAACAAGUAGUUGGUUACAAAUGAAGAAUCGGAUGAAGUAGGAGUGCAAGAUAAGGGUAGUGGGGUUCGGGGCUGUAGUAGUUUGUAGCAGGAGGAUCGAAUGAUUGGGUGUCAAGAGAACUGCUAUGUGUUGGUUCCUUAUGUCGAUGGGGAGAACCCAAUGUAGACAAUGAUGAGGGGAUGCAGUACGUAUCCCCAAUAAAAACGGUUGAGACAGUACAAAUAGUAGUAGCUAAUAAUCAUGUUAGUGUAGUUAGUUACGUGGAAGCACCAAAGGUUGGGAUGAUAUUUAAGAAAUGGGAAGAGGUCGAAGCUUAUUAUAAGUAGUAUGCAAAGCAAAAUUGAUUUGAAGUGAAUAGGGUGCAGGGUUUGUAUUCCAAGGGUGAGGGGAGGGACUGAAUAUCUAAGACAUGGAGGUGUGAGUGUUAUGGGAGACCCGAUAUGAGGGCACAACGAGAAGCCAAAAAGAGGGCAAAAGUGAUGGAUGUGAGUGGUUCAGGUGGAGUCAUAGGUGGAGUGGUGGGAGUGGAUGAGUUGAGUCGUAGUAAAUGAAGGUCGAAGAAAUGUGAGUGUGAAGCUAAUAUUUAUGCUAGUGUAAAUCGGGAAGGUCAAUGGGUACACACUUAUUCCUGGCGAUGCUCAUCUUGUGAUAGAGUAUCGAAUGAAACACUUUACUUCAAGAGUAAGGAAGAAGCUACUUCAUUAUUUUGAGGAAGGGGUAACUGUGAAGCAAAUUCAUGGGUGCAUAGGCACAGAGAUGGUUGGCUCUAAACCUCUGCCGUACACAAUUAAGGAUCUCGAGCAUGAGGUAUACAAAUGUAGGAGGCUGAAAAUGGAGAGAGGCGACUCCGUUGCUAUGAUGGAAUUUUUUCAACAAAUGCAAGCCGGGAAUCAGAAUUUUAAUUAUGCACAACGGUUGGAUGGCGAAGGAAGGUUGAAGGAUGUUUUGUGGGUUGAUGCUCGUAGUCGGGCUGCUUAUGAGGAGUUUGGUGAUGUCGUAUGUUUUGAUGCAACGUAUUUGACAAACGAGUAUGAUCUUCAGUUUGACAACUUUGUAGGCGUUAAUCACCAUGGUCAAUCAAUUUUGCUCGGGUGUGCUCUAGUAUCUCACGAAGAUUGUGAUACUUUACGGUGGGUGUUUAAGCAAUGGUUAUAAUGUAUGAAUGAAAAAACUCCCAAAGCAAUACUCACUGAUUAGGCAGCUGCCUUGAGGAGGUGAUGCCAACAACGAGACACGGCUGGUGCAUAUGGCACAAAAUGAGAAAGCUUUCGGAAAAUCUUAAGAAAUGUGCUAGUGAUGCAGGUAUCAAGAAUUCAAAAGCGAGCUAAAGUGUGUGGUAUAUGAAAGUUUUACCAUCCUGGAAUUCGAGAAUAGAUGGAAUGAAUUUGUUGUUAACUAUAAACUAGAAAACAAUUAUUGGCUUCAAAUUUUAUUCAAAGAACGGCAUAUAUGGGUACCGGCUUUCAUGAGAGACUUUUUCUGGGCAGGUAUGAAGACGACUCAACAAGUUGAUCGAGAAUAUAAACAACUUUUUCGAUGGAUUUUUGAAUAGAAAAACAAAGGUUUUUGAGUUCCCACAAAAGUAUGAAAAGGUAGGGGAGAAGCGAGUAGAUGAUGAGAUUGAUGCUGAUGCAAAAUGUGGGAAGUAGAGCAGAAGACUGGUCAGUGGUUUUUCGAUGGAAAAGUUAUUCCAAAAAAUAUAUACAGACACUAAGUUUCAAGAAGUCCAAACAGAAUGCUGUAGAUUGAUGUAAUGCUACCCCUGUGAAAAGAUAACAGUCUCAGAUAACCUAGUUCAGUAUCUUAUAGAAGAUCAUGUAUGGAUUGUUCUAUAGGGAAAGAAUGAGGUUGUUCUCACAUAUAGGAGGAGGUUUUAUUCAGCAACGUUCCACGCCGAAAUAAAAGUUGUUUGCUAUGCCGUAAUUUGAGACUGAUGGGAUAUUUUGUAGGAACAUCAUUCGUAUUCUUGAUCUAAACUUUCCUGUUUGUUGAUAGAAGAAGGGUAGCCAAAAAGGCGAAGUCUGGUACUGGAUCAUCGGUGUUUAUAUUUAUAUAAGAGUCAGACUCAAUAUCAAAAGAACCGAAUAAAGUUUCAUCCUACAGGGAGUGGGCCUCGGCUUACGAAAGUGGUUGCUAUGGUAGCAAGUUUGACAACAGACAUCGCUUUUCUGCUUUUUGAAUGGGUAUCCCUGAAAGGAAGGCCCGAAGAAAAGGGAUCCGGAAAGUCCAAUCCAAUGACGGUGUUGGAAAGCAAGUCAGAAUAGGCUCUCGCUUGAGCAGGACAAAGGCUAUAGAAGGUGUUCGGAGUUGGCUUAACGAAUUGUGAUAGAAUCCGAUUUGAAAGUCAAGUCGUCAAGAUUCCACAACAAUAUAUAUCCUUUAUCGUUGGUGAAAAGACAUGUUAAGGAAACACAUAGGAGUUACGGUUUCCAACCAUGAUCCAACCAAGACUGGGGUGUGGAAAAGGUAUAACACGACGAUGACUGCAUUUGAGCCAAUCUGCGAGGAGGCAGCAAUGGUGGAAGAUGAGACAUUGAGUACGGUGCUGACAAGUCUGGAACAACUACACUCCGUCGUAAGCCGAUGCACUAAGCACAAGUUGGACUAAACCGUCUCUAUAACCUUCCCGGAAGAUGGUGCUGCCAUUGCGCAACACACCUGCUCGAAUGAGAAUGGGAAAAACUCUACGGUGCAAAACCCAUAUGUUGAUCAAGUAACCUCAAUACUAUGCCUAGUGUUGAAGAGGGAAAUGAUAUUCACUGCUCACCUAAAGACCCAGUGCCUAAGAAGAGGGGAAGAGGAGGGCUGAAAGGAUUGCGUAACAAGGGAUUUGCUGAGAUUGGGUAUAAAAGGGCAAAUAAGAACAAGGAAAAGGUACCACAAUCUGGAGAUGUGGCCAAAGGUGCUAAUGAAAGCAUCCCAACUAACAAACCAAAGAAGAUGCCAUUCAGGCGCAAAGCUGCUACGCAAUCCAUACCAGAUUCUACCCAAGUCGAGUUCGUUGUAGAGGAUGCUAGUCUUGUCGCAGGCACCUCCACUUGUAUUUCGCCCAUGUUCUAAUUUCAAUGUGGAUCAUUUGUUUAUGUAUUGCCAGUGCCACUGUUUCAGUUGUUUUAUAUCGAGCUAAUGUUUAGACUCUAAUCUAUGUUCGUUUUAGUUUGAUGUGAUAAGAUGACAUUAUGUAUUUUGCGACUUUGUGUCUAGUUAUCAGAGGGCAUGAACUUAAGUGGUCACUUGUAUGUUAGGCAAGCGAUGGGCGUCGUGGCUUUUGUUUUAGCUAGUUUAAGUACCAGUAUGCUUUAUUCAUCAUUGUAAUGUUCAACAAAGUAUCUUCAAUACCCCAUAGGUAUGUGUUUAUCUCUGUGCUUCAAAUAGUUUUACCAAGUAGCUUACAAUUCACCAAACAUAAAGUACUCGAACACCCCUGCUCACUUUGGGCCCAAUCUUCAGUUGGACACUUUGGGCCCAUUCCUAAAUAAGCAUCUUCCUAGCCUAGUAUUGUAGGGAGUAUAUGAGAAUAAUGAAAGUUUCAUGAACGUGUAACUCUAAUGUCUACUCUACAUGGUUAGUAUAGAAAAUAUUGCUUUCUAAGAAGGAAUUAGGAAUAUACAACAGACACCAAGUAUGUUACUCGGGUCCAAGUUAGAUUACCUCCUUCCCAACUCCCAUCCCCUAUAAAACAUUAUGGGUAAUCAUUUAACAAUCAA